This 472-nucleotide ribosomal RNA is filed under the name uncultured bacterium. Its description in RNAcentral is "SSU rRNA". It matches the Rfam family "Bacterial small subunit ribosomal RNA", at positions 26 to 518 of the family's 1533-position model. The record is from RNAcentral.
AGGACGAACGCUGGCGGCGUGCUUAACACAUGCAAGUCGAGCGGAAAGGCCCUUCGGGGUACUCGAGCGGCGAACGGGUGAGUAACACGUGAGCAACCUGCCCCUGGCUCUGGGAUAGCCUCCGGAAACGGGGAUUAAUACCGGACAUGACCUGCUGCCGCAUGGUGGCGGGUGGAAAGUUUUUCGGCCAGGGUGGGGCUCGCGGCCUAUCAGCUUGUUGGGGGGGUGACGGCCCACCAAGGCGACGACGGGUAGCCGGCCUGAGAGGGCGACCGGCCACACUGGGACUGAGACACGGCCCAGACUCCUACGGGAGGCAGCAGUGGGGAAUAUUGCGCAAUGGGCGGAAGCCUGACGCAGCGACGCCGCGUGCGGGAUGAAGGCCUUCGGGUUGUAACCGCUUUCACCAGGGCGAAGCGAGAGUGACGGUACCUGGGGAAGAAGCGCCGGCUAACUACGUGCCAGCAGCCGC